GUGAGGAAUAUUGCACAAUGGGCGCAAGCCUGAUGCAGCGACGCCGCGUGGGUGAUGAAGGCUUUCGGGUCGUAAAACCCUUUUCUGCGUGACGAGAGAGGACGGUAGCGCAGGAAUAAGCCUCGGCUAACUACGUGCCAGCAGCCGCGGUAAAACGUAGGAGGCGAGCGUUAUCCGGAGUUACUGGGCGUAAAGCGCGUGUAGGUGGUUGGAUACGUCUGCUGUGAAAUGUCCCGGCUUAACCGGGAGGGUGCGGCAGAUACGGUCUGACUUGAGGGUGACAGAGGAGCGUAGAAUUCCGGGUGUAGUGGUGAAAUGCGUAGAGAUCCGGAGGAAUACCAGUGGCGCAAGCGGCGCUCUGGGUCACAUCUGACACUGAGACGCGAAGGCAUGGGGAGCGAACGGGAUUAGAUACCCGUGUAGUCC
Molecule: ribosomal RNA, 426 nt
Filed under: uncultured bacterium
Lineage: Bacteria
Description: bacterial SSU rRNA
Rfam family: Bacterial small subunit ribosomal RNA
Source: RNAcentral